UCCCUAGUGGCUCAGAUGGUAAAGCAUCUGUCUGCAACACAGGAGACCCGGGUUCGAUCACUGGGUUGGGAA
RNAcentral lists this transfer RNA (72 nucleotides) under Bos taurus (domestic cattle). It matches the Rfam family "tRNA". From Rfam's summary of the family: Transfer RNA (tRNA) molecules are approximately 80 nucleotides in length. Their secondary structure includes four short double-helical elements and three loops (D, anti-codon, and T loops). RNAcentral also lists the same sequence under 1 other name. Lineage: Eukaryota; Metazoa; Chordata; Mammalia; Artiodactyla; Bovidae. The record is from Rfam by way of RNAcentral.